Molecule: ribosomal RNA, 164 nt
Filed under: uncultured bacterium
Lineage: Bacteria
Description: partial 16S ribosomal RNA
Rfam family: Bacterial small subunit ribosomal RNA
Source: RNAcentral
UAGGAAAUCUUCCACAAUGGGCGAAAGCCUGAUGGAGCAACGCCGCGUGUGUGAUGAAGGGUUUCGGCUCGUAAAACACUGUUGUAAGAGAAGAAUGACAUUGAGAGUAACUGUUCAAUGUGUGACGGUAUCUUACCAGAAAGGAACGGCUAAAUACGUGCCAG